GAUGAACGCUGGCUACAGGCUUAACACAUGCAAGUCGAGGGGAAACGGCGUUGAGUGCUUGCACUGAAUGGACGUCGACCGGCGCACGGGUGAGUAACGCGUAUCCAACCUUCCCGUUACUGCGGGAUAACCUGCCGAAAGGCAGACUAAUACCGCAUGUUUUCGAUGACGGCAUCAGAUUGAAGCAAAGAUCCGUCGGUAACGGAGGGGGAUGCGUCUGAUUAGCUUGUUGGCGGGGCGACGGCCCACCAAGGCGACGGUCAGUAGGGGUUCUGAGAGGAAGGUCCCCCACAUUGGAACUGAGACACGGUCCAAACUCCUACGGGAGGCAGCAGUGAGGAAUAUUGGUCAAUGGGCGGAAGCCUGAACCAGCCAAGUAGCGUGCAGGAGGACGGCCCUACGGGUUGUAAACUGCUUUUAUGCGGGGAUAAAGUGAGGGACGUGUCCCUUUUUGCAGGUACCGCAUGAAUAAGGACCGGCUAAUUCCGUGCCAGCAGCCGCGGUAAUACGGAAGGUCCGGGCGUUAUCCGGAUUUAUUGGGUUUAAAGGGAGCGUAGGCCGGGGAUUAAGUGUGUUGUGAAAUGUAGGCGCCCAACGUCUGACUUGCAGCGCAUACUGGUUCCCUUGAGUACGCGCAACGCCGGCGGAAUUCGUCGUGUAGCGGUGAAAUGCUUAGAUAUGACGAAAACCCCGAUUGCGAAGGCAGCCGGCGGGAGCGCAACUGACGCUGAAGCUCGAAGGUGCGGGUAUCGAACAGGAUUAGAUACCCUGGUAGUCCGCACGGUAAACGAUGGAUGCCCGCUGUCGGCGCCUCGCGCCGGCGGCCAAGCGAAAGCGUUAAGCAUCCCACCUGGGGAGUACGCCGGCAACGGUGAAACUCAAAGGAAUUGACGGGGGCCCGCACAAGCGGAGGAACAUGUGGUUUAAUUCGAUGAUACGCGAGGAACCUUACCCGGGCUUGAAUUGCAGGAGAACGAAACAGAGA
Molecule: ribosomal RNA, 985 nt
Filed under: Prevotella denticola
Lineage: Bacteria; Pseudomonadati; Bacteroidota; Bacteroidia; Bacteroidales; Prevotellaceae
Description: bacterial SSU rRNA
Rfam family: Bacterial small subunit ribosomal RNA
Source: RNAcentral